UGGGGAAUAUUGCACAAUGGGCGCAAGCCUGAUGCAGCCAUGCCGCGUGUGUGAAGAAGGCCUUCGGGUUGUAAAGCACUUUCAGCGGGGAGGAAGGCGAUAAGGUUAAUAACCUUGUCGAUUGACGUUACCCGCAGAAGAAGCACCGGCUAACUCCGUGCCAGCAGCCGCGGUAAUACGGAGGGUGCAAGCGUUAAUCGGAAUUACUGGGCGUAAAGCGCACGCAGGCGGUCUGUCAAGUCGGAUGUGAAAUCCCCGGGCUCAACCUGGGAACUGCAUCUGAUACUGGCAAGCUUGAGUCUCGUAGAGGGGGGUAGAAUUCCAGGUGUAGCGGUGAAAUGCGUAGAGAUCUGGAGGAAUACCGGUGGCGAAGGCGGCCCCCUGGACAAAGACUGACGCUCAGGUGCGAAAGCGUGGGGAGCAAACAGG
Molecule: ribosomal RNA, 429 nt
Filed under: Chloroflexota bacterium
Lineage: Bacteria; Bacillati; Chloroflexota
Description: Chloroflexi bacterium partial 16S ribosomal RNA
Rfam family: Bacterial small subunit ribosomal RNA
Source: RNAcentral